CCUUUAUCUGGGGUAUAGCCCGAAGAAAUUCGGAUUAAUCCCCCAUAAGAUAUUAGAGUGGCAUCACUUCGAUAUUAAAACUCCGGUGGAUAAAGAUGAGUGUGCGUCCCAUUAGCUAGUUGGUAGGGUAACGGCCUACCAAGGCAACGAUGGGUAGCUGGUGUGAGAGCACGACCAGCCACACGGGCACUGAGACACGGGCCCGACUCCUACGGGAGGCAGCAGUGAGGAAUAUUGGUCAAUGGACGCAAGUCUGAACCAGCCAUGCCGCGUGAAGGAUGAAGGCCUUCUGGGUUGUAAACUUCUUUUAUUGGGGAAGAAAAUUACGGUUUCUACUGUAACCGACGGUACCCAAGGAAUAAGCACCGGCUAACUCCGUGCCAGCAGCCGCGGUAAUACGGAGGGUGCAAGCGUUAUCCGGAUUCACUGGGUUUAAAGGGUGUGUAGGCGGGCAUUUAAGUCAGUGGUGAAAUCUCCGAGCUCAACUCGGAAACUGCCAUUGAUACUAUUUGUCUUGAAUAUCGUUGAGGUUGGCGGAAUAUAUCAUGUAGCGGUGAAAUGCUUAGAUAUGAUAUAGAACACCGAUUGCGAAGGCAGCUAACUAAGCGAUGAUUGACGCUGAGGCACGAAAGCGUGGGGAUCAAACAGGAUUAGAUACCCUGGUAGUCCACGCCCUAAACGAUGAUUACUCGACAUACGCGAUACACAGUGUGUGUCUGAGCGAAAGCAUUAAGUAA
RNAcentral lists this ribosomal RNA (737 nucleotides) under uncultured Bacteroidota bacterium. RNAcentral's name for it is "bacterial SSU rRNA". It matches the Rfam family "Bacterial small subunit ribosomal RNA", at positions 129 to 867 of the family's 1533-position model. Lineage: Bacteria; Pseudomonadati; Bacteroidota. The record is from RNAcentral.